AACAAAAUGGCAAUGGGCCAAUUUAUCGAAUAACAAAAAAAUGUAAACAAAAAGUUGGAGGAAAAUGUCAGGUAGUAGAAAAUAAGAAAAAACAAAAUGAAAACUUAAAAAAAUUGGAUCUAUCUAGAUUGUGGAAGGAAACCAAACUUGCACCGAUGGAAUAUGAUUUUUGAGAUUAGGAAAGUGAGCUUUCUCUUUAGAUCGUCGCCGGUCAGAGCUACUCCGUCAUCUAUUAGCUCCUGUGAGCUUUUCCAUCUCACUGUAUCACACUGGAAAUAAGAUUUUGAUCGGAAUUGUAUUUAGAUCUAGAGUCAUUCCGUCAACAAUCGUAUGUUUCGUGAAAUGUUGAUGUCUUCUUCAGCUCUAUUUUGCGUCGAUGUUACUCUAUUUGGGAUGGUCAACUAAGGUAUUAUAUUUUAAA
This is a long non-coding RNA of Solanum tuberosum (potato), 421 nucleotides long. RefSeq lists it as uncharacterized. The record is from RefSeq and is a predicted model, not a curated record. The transcript has 3 exons. NCBI's taxonomy places the organism in Eukaryota, Viridiplantae, Streptophyta, Magnoliopsida, Solanales, Solanaceae.